CAUUUUCGGUGACGGCUUCUCGUAAAAGCUAGUUACCACGAUUGAACUGUUUUGCUAGAACAGUUCAAUCUUGAAAAAGGCCACCCUUGCAGGGGUGGUUUUUUUUCU
This 108-nucleotide non-coding RNA is filed under the name Xenorhabdus eapokensis. The record is from RNAcentral. Lineage: Bacteria; Pseudomonadati; Pseudomonadota; Gammaproteobacteria; Enterobacterales; Morganellaceae.